Molecule: ribosomal RNA, 295 nt
Filed under: uncultured Actinomycetes bacterium
Lineage: Bacteria; Bacillati; Actinomycetota; Actinomycetes
Description: uncultured actinobacterium partial 16S ribosomal RNA
Rfam family: Bacterial small subunit ribosomal RNA
Source: RNAcentral
CCCCCGUGAUGUGUUGCUAACAUUAAGUUGAGGACUCACAUCAGACUGCCGGUGACAAACCGGAGGAAGGUGGGGAUGACGUCAAGUCAUCAUGGCCCUUACGUCCAGGGCUAGAAACGUGCUACAAUGGCGUACACAAAGGGAAGCAAGACCGCAAGGUGGAGCGAAUCUCAUCAAAGUACGUCUAAGUUCGGAUCGCAGUCUGCAACUCGACUGCGUGAAGGCGGAGUUGCUAGUAAUCGCGGAUCAGAAUGCCGCGGUGAAUACGUUCCCGGGCCUUGUACACACCGCCCGU